GCCACAUCAUGUUGAAACCCUAGUUUCCAUACAAUCACUGAAGUCAAGCCAUGUUGAGCUAGGUCAGUACCUAGAUGGGUGACCACUUAAGAAUACCAGGUGCUGUAAG
Molecule: non-coding RNA, 109 nt
Organism: Acanthosepion pharaonis
Lineage: Eukaryota; Metazoa; Mollusca; Cephalopoda; Sepiida; Sepiidae
Source: the annotation of a GenBank genome assembly